RNAcentral lists this transfer RNA (65 nucleotides) under Ictidomys tridecemlineatus (thirteen-lined ground squirrel). Its description in RNAcentral is "Spermophilus tridecemlineatus (thirteen-lined ground squirrel) tRNA". It matches the Rfam family "tRNA". Rfam says of the family: Transfer RNA (tRNA) molecules are approximately 80 nucleotides in length. Their secondary structure includes four short double-helical elements and three loops (D, anti-codon, and T loops). Further hydrogen bonds mediate the characteristic L-shaped molecular structure. tRNAs have two regions of fundamental functional importance: the anti-codon, which is responsible for specific mRNA codon recognition, and the 3' end, to which the tRNAs corresponding amino acid is attached (by aminoacyl-tRNA synthetases). tRNAs cope with the degeneracy of the genetic code in two manners: having more than one tRNA (with a specific anti-codon) for a particular amino acid; and 'wobble' base-pairing, i.e. permitting non-standard base-pairing at the 3rd anti-codon position. The record is from Rfam by way of RNAcentral. Lineage: Eukaryota; Metazoa; Chordata; Mammalia; Rodentia; Sciuridae.
GGGGUUGUGGCUCAGUGGUGGAGCAUUUGCCUUGCAUAAGGCACUAGGUUCAAUUCGCAACACCA